RNAcentral lists this ribosomal RNA (376 nucleotides) under uncultured prokaryote. RNAcentral's name for it is "bacterial SSU rRNA". It matches the Rfam family "Bacterial small subunit ribosomal RNA", at positions 524 to 896 of the family's 1533-position model. The record is from RNAcentral.
UACGGAGAGUGCUAGCGUUGUUCGGAAUUACUGGGCGUAAAGCGAGUGUAGGCGGCCUUGUAAGUCGGACUGUGAAAGCCCGGGGCCUAACCCCGGAAGUGCAUCCGAUACUGCUUGGCUUGAGUUCGGGAGAGGGUAGCGGAAUUCCCGGUGUAGAAGUGAAAUUCGUAGAUAUCGGGAGGAACACCAGUGGCGAAGGCGGCUACCUGGACCGAUACUGACGCUCUGACUCGAAAGCGUGGGGAGCAAACAGGAUUAGAUACCCUGGUAGUCCACGCUGUCAACGGUGGGUACUGGGUGCAGCGGGUGUCUGACCCCUGCUGUGCCGUAGCUAACGCGUUAAGUACCCCGCCUGGGGAGUACGGCCGCAAGGUUG